This 1281-nucleotide non-coding RNA is filed under the name Aureobasidium pullulans EXF-150. Its description in RNAcentral is "Bacterial large subunit ribosomal RNA". It matches the Rfam family "Bacterial large subunit ribosomal RNA", at positions 575 to 1820 of the family's 2925-position model. The record is from Rfam by way of RNAcentral. Lineage: Eukaryota; Fungi; Ascomycota; Dothideomycetes; Dothideales; Saccotheciaceae.
UAAAGUUUAAAUAACAAAUGAGAGCGUACCUUUUGCAUAAUGGGUCAGCAAGUUAAUAUUAGAUGCGAGAAAAGCAAUUUUUCAUCGAACACGAUGCAAAAUAUAAGUCUUAUUCCUAGAUAAACCGAUUAUUAAAUAAUGAAUUAGUAUCUAAAAUUAGACCCGAAGCCUGGUGAUCUUACCAUGAUCAGGGUUAUAAAAGCCCGAACGGGUUAUCGUUGUAAAGAUAUCCGAAGAAUUGUGGUAAGUUAGUGAAAGACAAUACUGACCAGGAUAGCUGGUUUUCCGCGAAACCUAUAUAAGUAGGUAAUUCAAAUAACAUCAUAGCAGGUACAGAAUUGUGAUCUCAGACAAAUAGUAUUUAAAAAAUGCAUUUGUAUAUAUCGGGGGGUCGUGAAGACUUUAUCGGUGAGAAUUUGCUCUCGGAAGGGCAAUGAUGAAUAUUGAAUAAUCGGACAUAGUACGAUAAGGUUGUAUGUCCAAAGGGAAACAGCCCAGAACAAGAGUUUAAGGUUCCAAAAUUAUUGUUAAGUGAAAUUAAGGAAGUUUUUUUCAAAUACAACCAGGAAAUAGGCUUAGAAGCGGCCAUUUUUUAAAGACCUCGUAACAGAGCACUGGUUCAAUUAAUAAGUUAAAAGCACCGAAAAUUUAACGGAUCUAAACAAUAUACCGACACCUUGUCCAUAAGUAUUAAUAAAAUUAUAAUUGUAUUUAUGGGGUAGCGGAACGUUGGGCAAAUCAAAGAUGUAAUCUUUUUAAGAUUAUAUAAUUAUGGAUAACCUUAAUAUUUAUCGACCUGCGGCCGGAAACGGCCGAAGGAAGAAGGUAUUAAGUUACGUCCAUCGACCUUAGGUAGAACUUCUACCUUUGGCAGAUGAUAACCCAAGUGAGAAUGCUGACAUAAGUAACGAAAAAGGGAUUUAUUACCCCCUCGCCUUAAGCUUAUGGUAUUUAUAUAAAGUAACGGCCUCUAAGUUUAUAGACCUGCCCUAAAGGACUAAACGAUGAGAAAAGCUUUUAUGCAGAAUUAACCUAAUUGAGUAAAUUGGGUUCUGGAAAAAUCUGCAAAUUAUCGAAACCGUACCUAGAUACUACCCCUGUCCAAGUAAGCUAGUAGAGUAUACGAAGGCGUUUGAGCUAACAAUCAUUAAGGAACUCGGCAAAAUGACACCGUAACUUCGGGAUAAGGUGUGCCAUUCUUCCAUCGCCCGGCUCCCGGCCGAUGGUUAAGAAUAGGAGGCAUAGAAUGGUGUUGUACGACUGUUUAAUUAAAACAAAGCA